UAAUCCAACACUUUGAGAAGCCGAGGCAGGUGGAUCACUUGAGGUCAGGAGUUCAAGACCAGCCUGGUCAAUAUGGCAAAACCUCAUCUCUAUUAAAAAUACAAAAAUUAGCCAGGUGUGGUGGUGCAUGCGUGUAGUCCCAGCUACUCAGGAGGCUAAGGCAGGAAAAUCACUUGAACCCGGGAGAUGGAGGUUGCAGUGAGCCAAGAUUGCACCACUGUACUCCAGCCUGGGUGACAGAGCGAGACUCUGUCUCAAAGAAAAAUAAACAAAAGAACCCAUGAAGGUGUGAGCUGGGAAGGCUUGUGGGUGGCCCAGGGGCUAAUGGAAAGAAGGCCAAAUGUGAGGAUGACUCAGUGACAGUGGUUUUCUAAAUGAGGUGGUCUAGUUC
This 391-nucleotide long non-coding RNA is filed under the name Homo sapiens (human). RNAcentral's name for it is "non-protein coding lnc-ZNF706-8:1". The record is from RNAcentral. Lineage: Eukaryota; Metazoa; Chordata; Mammalia; Primates; Hominidae.